RNAcentral lists this ribosomal RNA (324 nucleotides) under uncultured bacterium. Its description in RNAcentral is "bacterial SSU rRNA". It matches the Rfam family "Bacterial small subunit ribosomal RNA", at positions 28 to 334 of the family's 1533-position model. The record is from RNAcentral.
GAUGAACGCUGGCGGCGUGCUUAACACAUGCAAGUCGAACGAAGCGCUUAAAUGGAUUUCUUCGGAUUGAAGUUUUUGUGACUGAGUGGCGGACGGGUGAGUAACGCGUGGGUAACCUGCCUCAUACAGGGGGAUAACAGUUAGAAAUGACUGCUAAUACCGCAUAAGCGCACAGUGUUGCAUGGCACAGUGCGAAAAACUCCGGUGGUAUGAGAUGGACCCGCGUCUGAUUAGCUAGUUGGUGGGGUAACGGCCUACCAAGGCGACGAUCAGUAGCCGGCCUGAGAGGGUGAACGGCCACAUUGGGACUGAGACACGGCCCAA